Molecule: RNA transcript, 2096 nt
Organism: Macadamia integrifolia
Lineage: Eukaryota; Viridiplantae; Streptophyta; Magnoliopsida; Proteales; Proteaceae
Gene name: SPX and EXS domain-containing protein 5-like
Exons: 10
Source: RefSeq, a predicted model, not a curated record
UAACGGUUACAAUUGCCAAUCUUCUUUCCCCUCCCUGUUCCCACUUCUUCAUCCCUUUUUCACAAAAGCCAUCGAAAGGGAGAAAAACGAGAUCAAAAGCUUGGCUAUUCUUUGAUUUAGGGUUCGCAAUCUUCAAAUUUUUGGAAGAAAUUGCUGAUAUGAACAAUUAAGCUGCUCCCUUCUGCUUUGUUCGAGGUUACAUGAUCGGUGGGAUGUCUAGCGUAAGUUGCUCGGAGAAGCUUUGGCGAUGAUGAUUUCGCUGUGCUUUGAAUCUAGCAAAUUGAAGGACAAAAAAGAAGAAAAAGAAAUCAAUAAGGUUCCUUUAGGGUCAAGUGAUCCAGGAAACAGCCUGAGGCAUUUUCAACAUCAACUAGAAUUAAAUGAAACGAAGGGUGGAAGUUUGCCAUUGCAUGCUACUACUAUAAUGCCAUCCCCAAUUUUUUUCUGGAGAUUCAAGGUACUCCUGUUUGUAAUCUGGGGCUUCGGUUGUUGCAAGAUCGGUUGUGAUUCUGUCAUGAGAAUGAGUGCUGAUUUGCGGGAUCUAUUUCUAUAUGAGGCUUUUUUGUAUUAUAAUCCUCUUCUUCUUGUAACCAUGAUGGUGUGGCUUUGGGGAGUAAAUCUAUGGGUGUUUGCUCAGUCCACUAUCAAUUAUGCCAAAAUAUUUGAUCUUUCCCAGGAUUAUCUUACGCAUAGAGAAAUAUGGAAGUGUGCCACUUGGAUGACAAUCAUUGUGCCAACAAGCAUGACAGCUUACCUUUAUCUUUAUUCUCAUGGAGAAGUAUCAUUGGCCGCAUCACAACCAGUACUCUUGUAUGCUUCUGUCAUAAUGAUUUUCGUAUUUCCUUUUGAAAUCAUUUAUCUAUCAUCUCGCUACUACUUUUUAAGGACGCUUUGGAGGAUAAUACUUCCUGUGCAGGUGAUAACAUUUUCUGACUUUUUUGUGGCUGAUAUUCUAACCUCUAUGGCAAAGUUGCUGACAGGAUUUCAAGCUAGUGUUAUGCCGCAACCUCUAAGACCAUUGUCAGGAGCAAGGGGGAACCCCUUCUCAAAGAGAAGACAUUUGUCCUUGUCUCAAUCUACAUUCAAUCAAUGUUCCUCUGAUCCGUUGAUGAUUUCGAGUCUCAAACUUUGUCUUUCGUUUCCAAUGUGGAUCAGAAGUGGAUUUAGAAAACAAAGAUCGCAUCAAAUUGGGAUCUGAAUGUGGUGGUGGUACAUGGCCUAACAAAACUCAUGAACUAGCGGCUGCUUUAUGAAUGUCUAACUAUUAUUACUACUAUAAGGUUAAAACAGUGUAAUAUAGCAAAGGAAAUCCUAUAGUUACUUGUGGCUGUAUAGGAAGCUGUACCAGGAAAAUAUAUGUUUGGACCUCUUCUAUCCCAAGAAUUUUUUCUUACCUUUUUAGCUGCGGAGAUGCUCUUUGUUUCAUGCAAAGAAUGCUUCUGACCCUUAUAGCAAUUUUUGAACAUUUGUUAGCUCAUACUGGUACAUGUUCGCCGCAUAUUAUUAUUAGGUGAUUUAAAAAAAUGAAACAAUCAUUCUUAUUCAGUUAUUAUGUCUUAACUAUUUAAUCUUCAGUGCCUUGCAGAUUUCAAACCCAUCCAUUAUGACAUAUAUUGGCAUUUCUUUGGAGUUAAGAUUAGUAUUUUAAUUCUUUCAUUGUGUUUGGUUGAUUCAUACGGAUAUAACUAAGCUGAUGCCUCAUUUUGUGGCAGGCACCUCAUUAUGUCUGAUUCGAUCCUAAAACCAUGCUCAUUGCAAAAAAAAAAGGCCUCUUAAUUCUUUACAUAAAUAUCUCUUAUUGAACUUUUCUUCACUGCCUAAGAAGCAGUGGCAUUUUAUGUUCUACUUUGGAAAUAUAAAGACUUAAUUCUGACGUUGGUGUGUUGUCUUUGACCAUCUGUUCUUUUCACUCACAUGGUAUUGCUUGUAAUUGAUAAUAAUGUUCAGGUGCUUUCCGAUUUAGAGCGUUCAGUCUGUCGAAUGGUCCAUCGACAGGAAUUUAGCCUAUCCACCACAAGAUUUUAGAAGGCUGUGUGGGGACCAAGACUCCAAGUGGAGAGCCUGUGGAAGGAAGGUUGGCAAUCUUCUGGAGAACU